This is a long non-coding RNA of Populus euphratica (Euphrates poplar), 1740 nucleotides long. RefSeq lists it as uncharacterized. The record is from RefSeq and is a predicted model, not a curated record. Lineage: Eukaryota; Viridiplantae; Streptophyta; Magnoliopsida; Malpighiales; Salicaceae. The transcript is spliced from 6 exons.
UACCAGUCCACCGUCAUGCUGCCCUUUAACAUUUCUUAAUCCAAAACUCAACUUGUCAUAUCCGCUUGCGAUCUUUUGCAGCAACUAAUUAUUUUUACUGAAAGAAGGUGACUCUGUCUUGUUUACAACCUUUGUUUUCUUGAUUUUUUUUUACUGAAAUAAAAAAAUGGCUUUGAUGGAAACAUUUUAUCUCUCACAUGGAGCCCCAACCCUUGCUAUUGAUGAAACCGCACCAGCAAGCCAAUUCUUUAAAUCAUCGCAACAAAGUGUGUACAAAGAGAAACCGAGUUCCAUUCUUGUUAUUUCUGUUCACUGGGAGACCGAACCUACCGUUAGUGUUGUUGAUCGAAAUGAUACCAUUCAUGACUUCCCCAAGCCCUUGUACCAGGCUACACCUCUAUGCUGAGAAAUAAUGUUCGUUCACGUGCCUUGGGAUCUGAAUUGGUUGUGGUUACUGUGCUGAGCGUUGCUGCAUCAUGAAGAAAGGAGGUGGAACCAUUGAUCUUGAGCCCUGUCUUACACAUACAUCAGCAGUGGAACCUGCUCUUGCUCCCGUGGCUGUUGAACAGACAAUGAUUACCUGUGCUGCAGCUUCGUUUUUGAUUGAGCAAAUGUUCUACUCAAUUAGUAGAAUGGUGAGGUAGAGUUCUGGGAUUUCCAUUCAUCUAGCAUCAACACAACUUGCUUUCAAAUGUAUUUCACACAAAGGAAAUUAAUGCUUUGUGGCAACAGAGAUUUGUACACGUAGUUACAAUACAGUGCAACCUUUGCAACGAGCCCUGGUAGAUUCUAGAUCUUUUUGAUAACUAUGAUUUCUGCAAUUUUUCAGAUCUCAACUUAGAUCUCAUAAAGAUUUUAUUACAUUUCCACCAGACAAAUUCAGUUAUCUUUGCUGUGCUUUCAGUAAUCGUUUCAUCUUAUUGUUUCGAAGUUGAUAGACUUUUAGGGAAUUAUUCUUAUUUUCUAUAUGGGAUUUUUCUGGUCUAUCAAAACUAAUAGCUACCAAGUUUGUAAAGGCUUUUUAUGUUUUUAUGCUUAGCAACACUUUCCAGAUAUCCUCUAUUUCUACAUCUGUAGUAGCAUUAGUUUACUACACGUGCCCUAACCACCCCAGAUCUAUUAUAGUUGUUCUAACAUUUCAUUCGAUAAACUCUCCACAGUUUCCAACCAAUAGACAUGCUUAUCUGAAGUUUGGAAUGUUUCCAUGACACAGUUUAGUGGAGUUUAGAAUGGUCCCAUGACAUAGUUCAUUAAGUGUUUAUCUUUUUUGUUCAUCUAUGAGGGAACUAAUUUUCAUUGCCUUGCAAGGUGUUUGCACUUUUCCAAUUUUCUUGUCGCUGCUGUUGUCCAUUAACUCUCAUAUUUCUGGACUUAUAUGUCAGUGAAAUGAUUAAUGUUUCAAUUUUGAUGCCUGCGUAAUGUAUCAGGAUAAAAUACAGCAUUAGUAUUGUUGCUGACAGGGUCUGAAAAAGCCUCUCUAUACUUGUACACGUUUGAAGAAGGGGGAAGUUCUAUAUUUAGAAACACAUUCAUGCAGAUACGAGCUCUGUUUUACAGGAGAGAAAAUGGGAAAGUGACACAGGCUUCUCACUCAGGUGCUUGAAGAGACAGAUAAGUUCCACAGUCACCACCCACAUUCCUCAAACGGUGAGAAGCACGACUGUGAUAAUGUUCUUUUUUAUGUAUUCCGGUGGUCUCGCUGUAAGAAACCACAACCACAGAAGGUCAUGCAGUCAGUUG